CUUCUUCCUUUUUGUUCAAUCGGCGGUGCACUCCAGCCCGGUUUCUUCUUCCUUUCGUGCAAACGGCGGUACAGGUACCUGUGAAUUUAAUUUAGUUUGAGAAUUUCUCCGUCAUCUGCUUCGAUUUUUAACAAUAAAAAAUAUGUGAUGAUUUCUCGACAGGUAUACUAAAAUUACUGAAGAACUCUGGCAGGUAAUACAAGUCUUUGUUUCAUGACCUGAAUAUUUUGUUUCAAAAUUAUUUAAUAUUUUUUUUUCUCGAACAAAAUUGUAUGAUCUUUCGUCUUAUUCAUGAAUUUGGUGCACCUUAAACGAAAUUAGGGUGGAUUGGGUGAGAUUUGGUUCAACGUGGGAUUGGGUGAGAUUUAGUAUGGUGAUGUAAAAAAAAUCUGAUUACAGUGGAUAAUUAUGUGGAAAUUAAAAGUUUGGAAUAAAUUCAUAAAGUAAUAGAGUAUGAAUUCACAUGUUAAUGCUGGUUAAGAUAUUUCUUUAUAUAUUUUUUUUUAUUUUUUGAAUUUCUUGGAAAAAUUCAUUCAUUUAUUGUUUCAAUUUUUUGUUGUUGUCUGAUGAAGAUUUGGGAUUAUCAUACUGUGAUUUUUGAAAUUUAUUGUUUGAAUAUUAACUCCAUAAAUUAAAUAUUGUGUUUGGAAUUCUCAUACAGG
RNAcentral lists this long non-coding RNA (662 nucleotides) under Erythranthe guttata (spotted monkey flower). RNAcentral's name for it is "long non-coding RNA (EGUT_LNC000785)". The record is from RNAcentral. Lineage: Eukaryota; Viridiplantae; Streptophyta; Magnoliopsida; Lamiales; Phrymaceae.